This 3444-nucleotide ribosomal RNA is filed under the name Triticum aestivum (bread wheat). RNAcentral describes it as "partial small subunit ribosomal RNA". The record is from RNAcentral. Lineage: Eukaryota; Viridiplantae; Streptophyta; Magnoliopsida; Poales; Poaceae.
AUGCCGAGGAAGCGCAAAGGAGAUGGUGAUGGAAUCGAUGAGGUUCCUUUGAAAAAGGCGAAACACCCUCCUCCACGGAACAGAGCCUCACCUAGUUCGCUUCUUCUAGCAUGCAAGGACAUGAAUGAUGACAGGAAGGCUGCCAUUGAUGAUAUGGAUUUAACUAGCCUUCGGAAUAUCCAGUGUGACCAUCUAUUCAACAAUCUCAGUGUGUGGCUUGCUGAUCUCUACGACCCCAAUUCGCGUGAGGUGGUCAUACCAGGCCGAGGCAGGCUUCCGGUCAAUGAGGAAUAUGUGCAUCGUGUUAUGGGCGUGCCGCAUGGAGGGAAGUAUGUCCCUUACAACCUCCCUACUGAAGCUGAUAUUGAGUUAGGGCUUGAGUUGUUUGGCGAGCUUGGAUAUGCCCCUAAAAUGACUGAACUCGUUGAUCUCAUAAAGGGUUCUGAAAAUUCUGAUGAUACUUUCAAGCAUAUGUGGCUUCUGCUUGCAGGGAAUACAGUCAUUGCCCCGACCACCUCCAACAAAGUUAGCCCCCGAUGGUAUGUUGUGCUGUGUGACAUCGAUGGUAUUAAAAAUCUCAAUUGGUCCAAAUUUAUUGCUGAUGAACUACACAAGGCGCUGCUGAAACGCAAGCCUACCAGGGGUUGCCUUCUCUUCUACAAUUUGAAGCCUAAGUUUGGCAUGAAUUUCUGUCUGUUUGGUGGUCUGGAAGGUCUUGACAAGUUUAUGCGUGUUCAUACUGCCCCAAGCUACAGUCUGGAGAAAUUUGCCAAAUCAACUCAGAUAGUUGCUCGGUUCACGUCCGCCAUGGCUGGCAUCCUAGGAAAUCUUGUGGAAUCAUUCACCGCUUUAUAUGAUGAGGGCCAUUCAGAUGCAUCCCGUCAUCUAGACGCUGGAUUGAACGUUCUCUCUUCUGCCGCUCAUACGACGACAAGGACUACGCACUCAUCGCAAGGCAGGCGGCCAGAAAGCCCUGGAAAGAAUGUUCCUGAAGAUUUUGAUAGUGAUGAGGAGUAUCACGGAGGCAAUGAUUCUGAUUCUGACGCUGACUCCGAUGAUGAUGACGAUUUUAAUGAUAUGGACUAUCGAGUUGUUCGUCAUCGCCGUAAAGAUCCUUUUGUUGUUUCAGGCAGUGGUACCGUGGAUGUAGAUAUGGGCAGCGGUCCAGCUGAUGAUGACACCACACAUCUUGAUGGUGUAACUGUCAAAGCUCAUGAUGGCACAGGACCAGAUGUUGAAGACACGCCUGUCCGCCCUGUCAAUGAUAACCUCAAUGAGUCUCAAAUCUUACUCACUGGCACAUCUCAUGCAGCAUCUGUCGAAUCAGGUGAUGGAGGGCUCAGCCAGCAAGUUGUGCCUCCCAGCCCAUCGCAAAGGUUGUCUUCACCAAUUGCACUGUCAGCAUCUGAGAUUAAUUUAGCUAUGAAGAAAGUUGUGGUCCAGGAGCUUGGUAUACUUGUGGCUGAAAAAGGAACCGGUGUCUCCUAUGAAACAAGUAUACCAGCAAGAUGUGCACCUAUGAAACAAGUUGCUGCUGCUAAGGGUUCACCAAGUGUAUCAGGAAAAAGUCGUUCAAAAGAUAAAACUGCUGUGAAAAAGGUGAAAUUCGCCAAGACCAGAUCCUCUUCACGACUAAGGGCAACAUUGUCGCAGACAAUGUCAUCGGAGACAACAGAAGUUAUCCAUCUUGAUGAAUCUCCCACGGCGACAUCUCCGUCUGAAAAAGCAGCAGCAUCUAGCAAGGGCGCAUCUGAUGUUGUUGCGGCGACAUCGGCUGGUGUUUCUGAUGAUGCUGUUUUUCAGCUUGCUGCAACGACAACUGUUACUGUUGUUGUUGAAGAUAUCGCCAGCGUGGCUGUGGCUGUUGAAUGUGAAAAUGAAGUCGUCCCAAAUAUAGUGCAUGAUGGAAGUGAAGCCGUUCAUGUCUCUGAGAAAGUUGUGGGAGGUACCCAAGUCAAUAUGCCUAUUGAUACGGCUACAGCUGGAGGUCAAGAGAAUGAUGCCCAUAAUCCUGUUGGCACAGCAGUAUCUGACCCUACGUUGGAGUCGAGCACCCCUGAAGCUGGAGAAUACGAUGGUAAUUUUAUGCCACUCAGCUGCUCUAUUGGGCUUGAUGCCAUCUUUGCAUUGGCUCAAGUACCACCUGCAGCACCACAAGCAUCGGCGGCGGUGCCAUCUGUCCAAGUACCAUCUGCAGCACCAGAAGCACCUGCGGCAGCGCCAUCUGCUCAAGUACCACCUGCAGCACCAGAAGCACCUACGGCGGCGCCAUCGGCUCAAGUACCAUCUGCAGCAUCAGAAGCACAUCCGGCGAUGCCAUCGGCUCAAGUACCACCUGCAGCACCAGCUACUGGCCCUGUCGCUGUUCUAGGGCUCGCAUCUCCUGUUGAUGCUGGCUCGAAGGGCAAGGCAGUGGUAAAAGUUACCAAGGCGCAACCGGUUGCUUGGGCUCCGCCACCCAACUCUGUAAUACCGGAAGCUGGUCGUGUGCAAGUGUAUGAUGUUGAGAUUGACGAUGAUGAUGUUCUCAUGUGGUGGGAAGAAUUUGAGCAUGACAAUCCAGCAUUAAAAGGGAAAUCUAAUGUUCAAAUAGACAACCCUCAAAGUCCAACAUUUGUUACACCAGAGUUACCACCUCGCACAGAGCAUUUAGUACGCAGUUCAACCCCUAAAUCCUUUAUUCGGAAAGUUAGGGUCACCCACCCGUCCAAAUACAUGCUCCCGCCUUUUGCCACCCUCACACCGAGCGAGGAGGAAGAUGUUAGGGUCAUCGACAUUGAUGGUAGGUGGGUCACCCUCGAUGAGCUUGCCAACUGUGUGAAGGGAGUUGGGCAACUAUCAACCAGCAUUGCCGAGUUACAUGUUCGCAUUCUCCAGUAUAAGGAAACGCCAAACAGGCUCAUCUUCCCUUGGCUGCUAUCUGUGUAUCUGUCGAUAGGAGACUUCAAAUCCAAGUGUGUAUUGAAGUAUUUUCGACGGGACAAGUCUUACAUUCUUAGUCACCAGCAUCAGCUGCUAUUCCCUGCUUUGCGAAAGUUGGGCCUCGGUCCAGAUGACUGGCAUUGGUAUGUGUUGUCACUAAAUCUUAGGGCGAAGAGGUUUGAAGUUCUAGAUUCAUUGCGUGAACAAGAUAGUCCUUCUCUUCUCGAGCAUGCGACAAGAUACAUGAAUGCUAUAAAGAAGGCUUGGUUGAUAAAUUACAAGGACUCGCAUAAGCAGAUUCAGGACUAUGAACUUGUGUACAUUGAUGUGUUGAAACAGCAUAAUGGCAUUGAUUGCGGAUUUUUCGCCUGCACGUACCUUGAGGUGUGGGAUGGCAAAAAUAUUCCAGCCUUAACUCAUGAACAAAUUCCAGCUCUCCGGAAAAUUAUGACAUUGAGGUGGUUAGAUCAUUAUCAAAACAAAUGCAAACAGUGGUGUUAUCAUCUGUUCGGCAACGGGUGA